Molecule: long non-coding RNA, 514 nt
Filed under: Pan troglodytes (chimpanzee)
Lineage: Eukaryota; Metazoa; Chordata; Mammalia; Primates; Hominidae
Description: lincRNA
Source: RNAcentral
AGACAGGGUUUCACCAUGUUGGCCAGGCUGGUCUCGAACUCCUGACCUCGUGAUCCGCCCGCUUUGGCCUCCUAAAGUCCUGGGAUUACAGGCAUGAGCCACUGUACCCAGCCAGUCUUGAUUAACUUAAUGGAAAUAUUUACAGAGAUUCUUUCUCUUCUGGGUUCUAGCGUCUUUUCUGUAACCUCUGCAGGCGCAGGAAUGGGAGGCAGCAGCUGGGGAAGCCAGGGUCUCUGGCAGUCCUUGUCUCUGGGCGGUGAUCCAGAGAGAGAGAGAACACGAUUGUCUCAGCACUGCGUCUUCUUCUGAGUCGUCUUGAAGGAGCAAUUCCAGAGCGUCUCGGUGUUAAACAUCAUGUUGUGAAUGACUCAGUGAUCUCUGACCCAGAGACCUUGGGGAUAAAGGAGGGGAGGUACGGAGAAGCUCUUCGAAUGGAUGUUACCGGGGUGUCAGUGUUCUUUGAGGCCACAGGCUAUGUGUCACCAAAUUGAAGGGGUGGCCUGCCCCUCCACAC